UACAGAGGGGGCCAGCGUUAUUCGGAAUUAUUGGGCGUAAAGGGUGCGUAGGCGGCGCGGUAAGUCGGGUGUGAAAUCUCGGAGCUUAACUCCGAAACUGCAUUCGAUACUGCCGUGCUUGAGGACUGGAGAGGAGACUGGAAUUUACGGUGUAGCGGUGAAAUGCGUAGAUAUCGUAAGGAAGACCAGUGGCGAAGGCGGCUCACUGGUCCGGUACUGACGCUGAGGUGCGAAAGCGUGGGGAGCAAACAGG
Molecule: ribosomal RNA, 253 nt
Filed under: uncultured bacterium
Lineage: Bacteria
Description: partial 16S ribosomal RNA
Rfam family: Bacterial small subunit ribosomal RNA
Source: RNAcentral